Molecule: long non-coding RNA, 930 nt
Filed under: Homo sapiens (human)
Lineage: Eukaryota; Metazoa; Chordata; Mammalia; Primates; Hominidae
Description: HSALNT0337910
Source: RNAcentral
CUAAGUUGCUUUUUUUCUGCCUUUCUCUAUUUCAUUCUCUUCAACUCGGAGUGAUUUCAUUAGUUCUGCCUGCAUUUCAUUGGACAGAGAUGAGUCAUAUUACCAUAUCUAAUUAUUAAUCUAAGACAGAAUGAGAAAGGAAGUCUAGCUAUGAGCUCAGAAAGAAAGACUUGGCCUGAAUUAUUUCUUGCAGAAGAUCCAAAAACCUUCUGUUGGGGUCUGAAUUGGGACUCCUUUCCUGUAGCAUCUUUCUGGUGACCACUGAAGGGACUAUAGUGCAGAAAACCCCCACCCAAAGGCUAACUUUCGAUGCAGAACCCAUGGAAACAGAAGGGAAACUAAAUGUUAGAAUCUGAUCAUGUGAAGCUUUGGUCACCAAAGAAAUGAAUCAUAAUGCUAAUAAUGAGUUCCUGACUCAACCCUGAGGAUCUACCAAAAUUUUCCUCCUUUGUUCACCAGCUGAUGCCAGGUGUGGAGGGGCAGAAGGAAGAAGCAAAGUGGAGUAGGAAGUGUGAGAAUGUGCAUGUAAUCUACGCCUAUGCAGCACAUCCAGGCACGCCAGCUUCAACUCGCUUCAUCAUGAGAGACCAAAAAUAAACAUAAUGAAAUAGAGGACAUUCUCGCGCCUCAAAAAAUUGAACUAUCUUAAAAGGAAUAUUGUUAUUGCCUCCAGUUUACUUUUGAGAAAUGUGAGUCACAAAAAGUAAAACAACGUACUCAAGGUCACACCGCUGAGAAGUGUGUUAGGUGAGACAUCUUGAAGCUCUUCCUUCUCAUGCUGGAAAGGCUGUCAGAAAGUUCAAGUCCUCCUCUUGACAUAGUACAUGCCUAUUUGCUCAUUGGGAUAGGCUAACCUUUUCAAGCAAUGUGCGGCACCCCUUAGCUUCAAUAAAGUGUUCAAUGUAAGAAGAAUAUGCUCUGUAUCCAUAA